This 66-nucleotide transfer RNA is filed under the name Columbicola passerinae. Its description in RNAcentral is "tRNA-Met". Lineage: Eukaryota; Metazoa; Arthropoda; Insecta; Psocodea; Philopteridae. The record is from RNAcentral.
GAAAAGAUAAGUAUAUGCGUAAGCCAACAGAUUCAUGCUCUGAGGAAACCUGAAUGGUUCUUUCUU